Molecule: ribosomal RNA, 468 nt
Filed under: uncultured bacterium
Lineage: Bacteria
Description: partial 16S ribosomal RNA
Rfam family: Bacterial small subunit ribosomal RNA
Source: RNAcentral
GACGAACGCUGGCGGCGUGCUUAACACAUGCAAGUCGAACGGAAAGGCCCUGCUUUUGUGGGGUGCUCGAGUGGCGAACGGGUGAGUAACACGUGAGUAACCUGCCCUUGACUUUGGGAUAACUUCAGGAAACAGGGGCUAAUACCGGAUAGGAGCUCCUGCUGCAUGGUGGGGGUUGGAAAGUUUCGGCGGUUGGGGAUGGACUCGCGGCUUAUCAGUUUGUUGGUGGGGUAGUGGCUGACCAAGGCUUUGACGGGGAGCCGGCCUGAGAGGGUGACCGCCCCCAUUGGGCCUGAGGUACGGCCCAGACUCCUACGGGAGGCAGCAGUGGGGAAUCUUGCACAAUGGGCGGGAGCCCGAUGCAGCAACGCCGCGUGCGGGAUGACGGCCUUCGGGUUGUAAACCGCUUUCGCCUGUGACGAAGCGUGAGUGACGGUAAUGGGUAAAGAAGCACCGGCUAACUACGUG